This 373-nucleotide ribosomal RNA is filed under the name uncultured organism. Its description in RNAcentral is "bacterial SSU rRNA". It matches the Rfam family "Bacterial small subunit ribosomal RNA", at positions 526 to 896 of the family's 1533-position model. The record is from RNAcentral.
CAGAGGGGGCAAGCGUUGCUCGGAAUCACUGGGCGUAAAGGGCGCGUAGGCGGGAUGGCAAGUCGGUCGUGAAAUCCCUGGGCUCAACUCAGGGGGGUCGGCCGAUACUGCUGUUCUUGAGGGAUGCAGAGGAGACUGGAAUUCCCGGUGUAGCGGUGAAAUGUGUAGAGAUCGGGAGGAACACCGGUGGCGAAGGCGGGUCUCUGGGCAUUCCCUGACGCUGAGGCGCGAAAGCGUGGGGAGCAAACGGGAUCAGAUACCCCGGUAGUCCACGCGGUAAACGAUGACGACUAGGUGUGGGGGGGGUUAAGUCCCUUCCGUGCCGCAGCUAACGCAUUAAGUCGUCCGCCUGGGGAGUACGGCCGCAAGGUUG